AAGGCUUUAAGUUAAAUAAACUAAUAGCCUUCAAAGCUAUAAAUAUAAGAUAUCUCUUUUAAGCCUUA
RNAcentral lists this transfer RNA (68 nucleotides) under Coboldia fuscipes. RNAcentral describes it as "tRNA-Trp". It matches the Rfam family "tRNA". Rfam says of the family: Transfer RNA (tRNA) molecules are approximately 80 nucleotides in length. Their secondary structure includes four short double-helical elements and three loops (D, anti-codon, and T loops). The record is from RNAcentral. Lineage: Eukaryota; Metazoa; Arthropoda; Insecta; Diptera; Scatopsidae.